CUGAAGGAAAAUGGUCUACCCCAUUCCUCACCCACUUCACCUCCACAGCUCGGGGGUGAAACCCGUACACCAGACACUGAAGUCUUAACACUUCAUCA
Molecule: long non-coding RNA, 98 nt
Organism: Nanorana parkeri
Lineage: Eukaryota; Metazoa; Chordata; Amphibia; Anura; Dicroglossidae
Exons: 3
Source: RefSeq, a predicted model, not a curated record